This 73-nucleotide transfer RNA is filed under the name Bos taurus (domestic cattle). It matches the Rfam family "tRNA". Rfam says of the family: Transfer RNA (tRNA) molecules are approximately 80 nucleotides in length. Their secondary structure includes four short double-helical elements and three loops (D, anti-codon, and T loops). Further hydrogen bonds mediate the characteristic L-shaped molecular structure. tRNAs have two regions of fundamental functional importance: the anti-codon, which is responsible for specific mRNA codon recognition, and the 3' end, to which the tRNAs corresponding amino acid is attached (by aminoacyl-tRNA synthetases). tRNAs cope with the degeneracy of the genetic code in two manners: having more than one tRNA (with a specific anti-codon) for a particular amino acid; and 'wobble' base-pairing, i.e. permitting non-standard base-pairing at the 3rd anti-codon position. Lineage: Eukaryota; Metazoa; Chordata; Mammalia; Artiodactyla; Bovidae. The record is from Rfam by way of RNAcentral. RNAcentral also lists the same sequence under 2 other names.
UCCCUGGUGGUCCAGUGGUUAAGACUCUGCAUUUCCAGGGCAGGGGGCACAGGUUCAAUUUCUGGUCAGGGAA